AAUCUAUCAAAGUGCUUAAUACUAGUGCAAGAUCCGCACGGUGUCAAUUAUCAAAUUAACUGUAUUGCAUUACAACUUCUUUCCUGAUUUCUUUCUGUUAUAUAAACUUUUUUUUCAAUUCAAUGCGUUGUUUCCCCUUUGGUGAAUAACAAUGACAACAUAUUGUGAUCCAAUCAGAUCGACCUUAGUUUAAUUGAUUUGAAUGUGUUUGGUGCAUGUAAUGACACAGCCAAACUUUCUGAAUUUUGCAAAGGAAAUAUACGAAGGCCGAUGUCUCAAGACAUAAAAUGUAUAAUGAAAUAUUGUAAUUACAUUAAUCAUUAUUAUUUAGAAAUUUCAUGAAAUAAAAUUGUAUUAAACAAUGCCUAAUUAGUUUAAGUUUCUUAUCACUCUAAAUGGCACUUGCUGCAAUCUUCUAUGACUGUGGAUUCAAUAUAAGUUGGUUGUCUUUACUAUAUGUUGAUGUGUAAUACAAGAUUUGUUAUCGAACUCCUUUAUCAAAUUGUGUGCUAUUCAUGUCAG
RNAcentral lists this long non-coding RNA (522 nucleotides) under Mytilus galloprovincialis (Mediterranean mussel). The record is from RNAcentral. Lineage: Eukaryota; Metazoa; Mollusca; Bivalvia; Mytilida; Mytilidae.